UUCGGUGGUUAUAGCGUUAGGGAAACGCCCGGUUACAUUUCGAACCCGGAAGCUAAGCCUUUCAGCGCCGAUGGUACUGCAGGGGGGACCCUGUGGAAGAGUAGGACGCCGCCGAAC
Molecule: ribosomal RNA, 117 nt
Filed under: Streptomyces noursei ZPM
Lineage: Bacteria; Bacillati; Actinomycetota; Actinomycetes; Kitasatosporales; Streptomycetaceae
Source: RNAcentral